RNAcentral lists this unclassified non-coding RNA (250 nucleotides) under plant metagenome. RNAcentral describes it as "partial contains small subunit ribosomal RNA, internal transcribed spacer 1, and 5.8S ribosomal RNA". The record is from RNAcentral.
GUAGGUGAACCUGCGGAAGGAUCAUUAACACGUAUCCAACGUUAAACAACCCCGUGAACCUUCAGCCUGCUCUCGUAGCCCACGCGGCAACAGCAAUCCCGGUAAAUCAUUGACGACCAGUUUUGAUUCGGGACCUCUGUUACGAUGUGAGAAGUUACAGUUACGAUCGAGCGGUAGAGUCAGUGGCAUGGCGUCCCCAAGCAGAAUCCAGAGAAUGAAAGGAUGAUCACCGACCGGCAGACAUGUCACA